RNAcentral lists this ribosomal RNA (366 nucleotides) under uncultured organism. RNAcentral describes it as "bacterial SSU rRNA". It matches the Rfam family "Bacterial small subunit ribosomal RNA", at positions 526 to 896 of the family's 1533-position model. The record is from RNAcentral.
CGGAGGAUCCAAGCGUUAUCCGGAAUCAUUGGGUUUAAAGGGUCCGUAGGCGGUCUUGUAAGUCAGUGGUGAAAGCCCAUCGCUCAACGGUGGAACGGCCAUUGAUACUGCAGGACUUGAAUUAUUAGGAAGUAACUAGAAUAUGUAGUGUAGCGGUGAAAUGCUUAGAUAUUACAUGGAAUACCAAUUGCGAAGGCAGGUUACUACUAAUUGAUUGACGCUGAUGGACGAAAGCGUGGGGAGCGAACAGGAUUAGAUACCCUGGUAGUCCACGCCGUAAACGAUGGAUACUAGCUGUUGGGGGCAACUUCAGUGGCUAAGCGAAAGUGAUAAGUAUCCCACCUGGGGAGUACGUUCGCAAGAAUG